UAGGGAAUCUUCGGCAAUGGGGGGAACCCUGACCGAGCAACGCCGCGUGAGUGAAGAAGGUUUUCGGAUCGUAAAGCUCUGUUGUUAAGGAAGAACGAGUGUGAGAAUGGAAAGUUCAUGCUGUGACGGUACUUAACCAGAAAGGGACGGCUAACUACGUGCCAGCAGCCGCGGUAAUACGUAGGUCCCGAGCGUUGUCCGGAUUUAUUGGGCGUAAAGCGAGCGCAGGCGGUUAGAAAAGUCUGAAGUGAAAGGCAGUGGCUCAACCAUUGUAGGCUUUGGAAACUGUUUAACUUGAGUGCAGAAGGGGAGAGUGGAAUUCCAUGUGUAGCGGUGAAAUGCGUAGAUAUAUGGGGGAACACCUGUGGCGAAAGCGGCUCUCUGGUCUGUAACUGACGCUGAGGCUCGAAAGCGUGGGGAGCGAACAGG
RNAcentral lists this ribosomal RNA (429 nucleotides) under Verrucomicrobiota bacterium. RNAcentral describes it as "Verrucomicrobia bacterium partial 16S ribosomal RNA". It matches the Rfam family "Bacterial small subunit ribosomal RNA", at positions 355 to 776 of the family's 1533-position model. Lineage: Bacteria; Pseudomonadati; Verrucomicrobiota. The record is from RNAcentral.